Molecule: ribosomal RNA, 496 nt
Filed under: uncultured bacterium
Lineage: Bacteria
Description: partial 16S ribosomal RNA
Rfam family: Bacterial small subunit ribosomal RNA
Source: RNAcentral
GAUGAACGCUGGCGGCGUGCCUAAUACAUGCAAGUCGAGCGAACAGAUGAGGAGCUUGCUCCUCUGACGUUAGCGGCGGACGGGUGAGUAACACGUGGAUAACCUACCUAUAAGACUGGGAUAACUUCGGGAAACCGGAGCUAAUACCGGAUAAUAUAUUGAACCGCAUGGUUCAAUAGUGAAAGACGGUUUUGCUGUCACUUAUAGAUGGAUCCGCGCCGCAUUAGCUAGUUGGUAAGGUAACGGCUUACCAAGGCAACGAUGCGUAGCCGACCUGAGAGGGUGAUCGGCCACACUGGAGCUGAGACGCGGUCCAGACUCCUACGGGAGGCAGCAGUAGGGACUCUUCCGCAAUGGGCGAAAGCCUGACGGAGCAACGCCGCGUGAGUGAUGAAGGUCUUCGGGUCGUAAAACUCUGUUAUUAGGGAAGAACAAAUGUGUAAGUAACUAUGCACGUCUUGACGGUACCUAAUCAGAAAGCCACGGCUACCUCCGU